Molecule: ribosomal RNA, 484 nt
Filed under: uncultured bacterium
Lineage: Bacteria
Description: partial 16S ribosomal RNA
Rfam family: Bacterial small subunit ribosomal RNA
Source: RNAcentral
AUUGAACGCUGGCGGCAGGCCUAACACAUGCAAGUCGAGCGGAUGAAGGGAGCUUGCUCCUGGAUUCAGCGGCGGACGGGUGAGUAAUGCCUAGGAAUCUGCCUGGUAGUGGGGGGUAACGUCCGGAAACGGGCGCUAAUACCGCAUACGUCCUGAGGGAGAAAGUGGGGGAUCUUCGGACCUCACGCUAUCAGAUGAGCCUAGGUCGGAGUAGCUAGUUGGUGGGGUAAAGGCCUACCAAGGCGACGAUCCGUAACUGGUCUGAGAGGAUGAUCAGUCACACUGGAGCUUAGACACGGACCAGACUCCUACGAGAGGAAGCAGUGGGGAAUAUUAGACAAGGGGCGAAAGCCUAGUGCAGCCAUGCAGCGUGUGUGACGACGAUCUUCGGAUUGUAAAGCACUUUAAGUUGGGAGGAAGGGCAGUAAGUUGAUACCUUGCUGUGUUGACGUUACCAACAGAAUAAGCACCGGCUAACUUCGUG